GAUUUAUAGGAUAUAGAUUCCUUUGUGAUUAUUUUCACUUUGAUGAUUUCAGAUAGUUUUCAAUCUAAUUCUUAAAUAGACAUUUUUCACUUGCUCGCCGGAGAGGAUAGCAGUAGCGUUUGUUGAACUCUCUUCUCAAGGAACUGACCGGCCACUAUUGGGAGGAUCAAGCCAAGACUAGGGAAUCCAUCUUUCAAGCCACAAAAACAUCACAUCCUUGCUGCAGUUGAGAAUUUUGUCGACUUGUUAAAAAUUAGAUACUCUUCGCCACUUUUCCGAUUGAGGACUACAAAUGCCAUUCAGGAAAGGGUACGUUUCCAUAACGUAGGACCUUCAUCGAUCCUCGGAUUGAUUGUUAUGAGUAUUGAAGAUGGACACGAAGGAGUGCCUGGCAUAGCUCAACUUGAUCUAUUAUACUCUUUUAUCGUCGUC
Molecule: long non-coding RNA, 432 nt
Organism: Dioscorea cayenensis subsp. rotundata (Guinea yam)
Lineage: Eukaryota; Viridiplantae; Streptophyta; Magnoliopsida; Dioscoreales; Dioscoreaceae
Exons: 4
Source: RefSeq, a predicted model, not a curated record